GGAAGGGGUGUCUUUAUUAAAUAAAAAACCAAUGCCCUUCGGGGCUUUUUGGUGAUUCUGGAUAACUUUUCUGAUCGCAUAGCCUUGCCCUGGCCACGGUUCAUUCAAAUUUCUGCCCUAUCAACUUUCGAUGGUAAGGUCUUGGCUUACCUUGGUUUCAACGGGUAACGGGGAAUUAGGGUUCGAUUCCGGAGAGGGAGCCUGACAAACGGCUACCACAUCCAAGGAAGGCCGCAGGCGCCCAAAUUACCCAAUCCCGACACGGGGAGGUAGUGACAAUAAAUACUGAUACAGGGCUCUUUUGGGUCUUGUAAUUGGAAUGAGUACAAUUUAAACCUCUUAACGAGGAACAUUUGGAGGGCAAGUCUGGUGCCAGCAGCCGCGGUAAUUCCCGCUCCUAUAGCGUAUAUUAAAGUUGUUGCAGUUAAAAAGCUCGUAUUUGAAACUUGCGCCUGGUUGGCGGGUCCGCCUCACCGCGUGCACUCGUCCGGCCGGGCCUUCCUUCUGAAGAACCUCAUGCCCUUCACUGGGUGUGCUGGGGAAUCACGACUUUUAC
Molecule: ribosomal RNA, 556 nt
Filed under: uncultured fungus
Lineage: Eukaryota; Fungi
Description: SSU rRNA
Rfam family: Eukaryotic small subunit ribosomal RNA
Source: RNAcentral